Molecule: ribosomal RNA, 450 nt
Filed under: uncultured bacterium
Lineage: Bacteria
Description: partial 16S ribosomal RNA
Rfam family: Bacterial small subunit ribosomal RNA
Source: RNAcentral
GUCGAGAAUAAUUCACAAUGGACGAAAGUCUGAUGGUGCAACGCCGCGUGGAGGAUGACGGUCUUCGGAUUGUAAACUCCUGUCAUCCGGGAGUAAGACCUGGCUGUGAAUAGCAGACAGGGUUGAUAGUACCGGAAGAGGAAGGGACGGCUAACUUCGUGCCAGCAGCCGCGGUAAUACGAAGGUCCCGAGCGUUGUUCGGAAUCACUGGGCGUAAAGGGAGCGUAGGCGGCGUGGUAAGUCAGAUGUGAAAUCCCGGGGCUCAACCCCGGAACUGCAUCCGAUACUGCCGUGCUAGAGGAUUGGAGAGGUAGCUGGAAUUCUUGGUGUAGCAGUGAAAUGCGUGGAGAUCAAGAGGAACACUCGUGGCGAAAGCGAGCUACUGGACAAUAUCUGACGCUGAGGCUCGAAGGCCAGGGUAGCGAAAGGGAUUAGAAACCCUGGUAGUCC